GGGUCGUUCGUCUAGUGGUAGGACGGCAGCCUCCAAACCUGCCUACGAGGGUUCAAUUCCUUCACGACCCGCAA
This 74-nucleotide transfer RNA is filed under the name Syntrophobacteraceae bacterium. RNAcentral describes it as "tRNA-Trp". It matches the Rfam family "tRNA". Rfam says of the family: Transfer RNA (tRNA) molecules are approximately 80 nucleotides in length. Their secondary structure includes four short double-helical elements and three loops (D, anti-codon, and T loops). The record is from RNAcentral. Lineage: Bacteria; Pseudomonadati; Thermodesulfobacteriota; Syntrophobacteria; Syntrophobacterales; Syntrophobacteraceae.